GCCUGGUAUGGUGGUGCACACCUGUAAUCCUUAUAACUUGGGAGGCUGAGGCCAGAGGAUCACAAUUUAGAGACCAGCCUCAGCCACUUAGUGAGACCUUGUCUCCA
This 107-nucleotide small RNA is filed under the name Marmota monax (woodchuck). The record is from RNAcentral. Lineage: Eukaryota; Metazoa; Chordata; Mammalia; Rodentia; Sciuridae.